GACGAACGCUGGCGGCGUGCCUAAUACAUGCAAGUUGAGCGAUGAAGAUUGGUGCUUGCACCAAUUUGAAGAGCAGCGAACGGGUGAGUAACGCGUGGGGAAUCUGCCUUUGAGCGGGGGGCAACAUUUGGAAACGAAUGCUAAUACCGCAUAACAACUUUAAACAUAAGUUUUAAGUUUGAAAGGUGCAAUUGCAUCACUCAAAGAUGAUCCCGCGUUGUAUUAGCUAGUUGGUGAGGUAAAGGCUCACCAAGGCGAUGAUACAUAGCCGACCUGAGAGGGUGGUCGGCCAGAUUGGGAUUGAGAAACGACCCAAACUCCUACGGGAGGCAGCAGUAGGGAAUCGUCGGCAAUGGACGAAAGUCUGACCGAGCAACGCCGCGUGAGUGAAGAAGGUUUUCGGAUCGUAAAACUCUGUUGGUAGAGAAGAACGUUGGUGAGAGUGGAAAGCUCAUCAAGUGACGGUAACUACCCAGAAAGGGACGGCUAACUACGUG
This 497-nucleotide ribosomal RNA is filed under the name uncultured bacterium. Its description in RNAcentral is "partial 16S ribosomal RNA". It matches the Rfam family "Bacterial small subunit ribosomal RNA", at positions 28 to 507 of the family's 1533-position model. The record is from RNAcentral.